ACGAAGGGGGCUAGCGUUGCUCGGAAUCACUGGGCGUAAAGGGCGCGUAGGCGGCCUUGUAAGUUGGGGGUGAAAGCCCGUGGCUCAACCACGGAAUUGCCUUCGAUACUGCUUGGCUUGAGUGUGGUAGAGGUUGGUGGAACUGCGAGUGGGGGGGCAAAUGCAGUAUAGCUGCGGAAGAGACGCGGUGGCGUGGGCAGCAAACAGGAUAAGCUCCCCCACUAAGGCGCGUUUGCUUUUCUUACAACCAG
RNAcentral lists this ribosomal RNA (251 nucleotides) under uncultured prokaryote. Its description in RNAcentral is "partial 16S rRNA". It matches the Rfam family "Bacterial small subunit ribosomal RNA", at positions 525 to 775 of the family's 1533-position model. The record is from RNAcentral.